Molecule: ribosomal RNA, 387 nt
Filed under: Triticum aestivum (bread wheat)
Lineage: Eukaryota; Viridiplantae; Streptophyta; Magnoliopsida; Poales; Poaceae
Description: partial small subunit ribosomal RNA
Source: RNAcentral
AUGCAGGAGCUGCAACGACCACAUGCGAGCGACUAUGCAGCCUGUCCGAUGUGCGGACAUGGGGAUGAAAGUCUCUAUCACUGUUUGAUACCAUGUGAUCACGCCAAGUUGUUUUGGGUGGAGGCAGAAACUGUAUUUGCUAUAAAGUUGCCCGGAUUCCAUCCACACACUUGGGCUACUGAUUUGCUCGAUGCUAGGUUGGUACCAAAGAAAGAUGCAGCUAUUGGCAUUACGGUGAUGUGGGCUAUUUGGAGCAGCCGGAACAGGUUCACUCACCAUGAAGAAAGAUAUCAACCAAAGCGAUCCAUGGGGGUUAUUUCUGAAAUCGUCGGGACACUGGAGCUUCCCCCCACGACACGUAGAUCUGCUGUUUAUGAGCAGCAGUGA